This 144-nucleotide microRNA precursor is filed under the name Prunus dulcis (almond). Its description in RNAcentral is "sRNA ncRNA". Lineage: Eukaryota; Viridiplantae; Streptophyta; Magnoliopsida; Rosales; Rosaceae. The record is from RNAcentral.
AAGAUGAGAGGAGAGGAUGGGAGGGAGAAGUAACAAAAGUGAAAACAAAAACUAAAAACUGAAAUCUAUUUCAAAUUGUUUUCACUUUCAAGAUUUUGUUUUCAUUUUUGUUACUCCUCCCUCUCAUCAUCCCCCUCUCAUCCU